UAAGGGAUAUUGGUCAAUGUGGGAAACCCUGAACCAGCAACGCCGCGUGAGGGAAGACGGUUUUCGGAUUGUAAACCUCUGUCCUCUGUGAAGAUGAUGACGGUAGCAGAGGAGGAAGCUCCGGCUAACUACGUGCC
This 137-nucleotide ribosomal RNA is filed under the name uncultured bacterium. RNAcentral describes it as "partial 16S ribosomal RNA". It matches the Rfam family "Bacterial small subunit ribosomal RNA", at positions 355 to 509 of the family's 1533-position model. The record is from RNAcentral.